GUGAGGUAACGGCUCACCAAGGCAUCGACGGGUAGCUGGUCUGAGAGGAUGAUCAGCCACACUGGGACUGAGACACGGCCCAGACUCCUACGGGAGGCAGCAGUGGGGAAUAUUGCACAAUGGGCGAAAGCCUGAUGCAGCAACGCCGCGUGCGGGAAGAAGGCCCUAGGGUUGUAAACCGCUUUCAGCAGGGAAGAAAAUGACGGUACCUGCAGAAGAAGGUGCGGCCAACUACGUGCCAGCAGCCGCGGUGACACGUAGGCACCAAGCGUUGUCCGGAUUUAUUGGGCGUAAAGAGCUCGCAGGCGGCGUGUCGCGUCUGCUGUGAAAGACCGGGGCUUAACUCCGGUUCUGCAGUGGAUACGGGCAUGCUAGAGGUAGGUAGGGGAGACUGGAAUUCCUGGUGUAGCGGUGAAAUGCGCAGAUAUCAGGAGGAACACCGGUGGCGAAGGCGGGUCUCUGGGCAUUACCUGACGCUGAGGAGCGAAAGUGUGGGGAGCGAACAGGAUUAGAUACCCUGGUAGUCCACACCGUAAACGUUGGGCGCUAGGUGUGGAGCCUAUUCCAUGGGUUCCGUGCCGCAGCUAACGCAUUAAGCG
This 599-nucleotide ribosomal RNA is filed under the name uncultured Actinomycetes bacterium. Its description in RNAcentral is "bacterial SSU rRNA". It matches the Rfam family "Bacterial small subunit ribosomal RNA", at positions 252 to 866 of the family's 1533-position model. Lineage: Bacteria; Bacillati; Actinomycetota; Actinomycetes. The record is from RNAcentral.